This is a small nucleolar RNA of Jatropha curcas, 110 nucleotides long. NCBI's taxonomy places the organism in Eukaryota, Viridiplantae, Streptophyta, Magnoliopsida, Malpighiales, Euphorbiaceae. The record is from RefSeq and is a predicted model, not a curated record.
AAGCUAUGAUGUGGGCAACUUCCUCAUAGGUCCUUUAAUCUCUCCCAAGCUUCAUACCCAAACUCUCUUAAUCCUGGUGGGCAAAAGUCAUUAUUCUCAUUACGAAGCUU